This 489-nucleotide ribosomal RNA is filed under the name uncultured bacterium. RNAcentral describes it as "partial 16S ribosomal RNA". It matches the Rfam family "Bacterial small subunit ribosomal RNA", at positions 30 to 507 of the family's 1533-position model. The record is from RNAcentral.
UUGAACGCUGGCGGCAGGCCUAACACAUGCAAGUCGAACGGUAACAGGAAACAGCUUGCUGUUUCGCUGACGAGUGGCGGACGGGUGAGUAAUGUCUGGGAAACUGCCUGAUGGAGGGGGAUAACUACUGGAAACGGUAGCUAAUACCGCAUAACGUCACAAGACCAAAGAGGGGGACCCUCGGGCCUCUUGCCAUCGGAUGUGCCCAGAUGGGAUUAGCUUGUUGGUGGGGUAACGGCUCACCAAGGCGACGAUCCCUAGCUGGUCUGAGAGGAUGACCAGCCACACUGGAACUGAGACACGGUCCAGACUCCUACGGGAGGCAGCAGUGGGGAAUAUUGCACAAUGGGCGCAAGCCUGAUGCAGCCAUGCCGCGUGUAUGAAGAAGGCCUUCGGGUUGUAAAGUACUUUCAGCGGGGAGGAAGGGAGUAAAGUUAAUACCUUUGCUCAUUGACGUUACCCGCAGAAGAAGCACCGGCUAACUCCGUG